CCUACGGGAGGCAGCAGUGAGGAAUAUUGGUCAAUGGACGCAAGUCUGAACCAGCCAUGCCGCGUGCAGGAAGAAGCAUCUAUGGUGUGUAAACUGCUUUUAUACAGGAAGAAACAACUCUACGUGUAGAGUCUUGACGGUACUGUAAGAAUAAGGACCGGCUAACUCCGUGCCAGCAGCCGCGGUAAUACGGAGGGUCCAAGCGUUAUCCGGAAUCAUUGGGUUUAAAGGGUCCGUAGGCGGUCUUAUAAGUCAGUGGUGAAAUCUCCUAGCUCAACUAGGAAACUGCCAUUGAUACUGUAGGGCUUGAAUUUUUGUGAAGUAACUAGAAUAUGUAGUGUAGCGGUGAAAUGCUUAGAUAUUACAUGGAAUACCAAUUGCGAAGGCAGGUUACUAACAAACGAUUGACGCUGAUGGACGAAAGCGUGGGGAGCGAACAG
Molecule: ribosomal RNA, 440 nt
Filed under: Flavobacterium ardleyense
Lineage: Bacteria; Pseudomonadati; Bacteroidota; Flavobacteriia; Flavobacteriales; Flavobacteriaceae
Description: bacterial SSU rRNA
Rfam family: Bacterial small subunit ribosomal RNA
Source: RNAcentral